Long non-coding RNA from Parus major (Great Tit), 1218 nucleotides. NCBI's taxonomy places the organism in Eukaryota, Metazoa, Chordata, Aves, Passeriformes, Paridae. The record is from Ensembl.
AGCCCCGCCCGCAGCGCCGGGGCGAGAAGGCAGCGGCGGAGCCUAGCCGGGCGCGGGACGGUGGCUCGGGGGAACCGCAGCUGGCCCGGCACGUCCGGGAGGAAGGGCCGUGGGAGGCGGGCCCGGGACGCCUGUUGCCCUGCUCCUCCUCUUGGGCUUCCUGCUUACCUGCCUACUUACUCUCCUCCUGCUCGCACUCUUCUUCCAGGCUUCGUGCUUGCUAACUUAUCUAUCUAUCUAUCUAUCUAUCUAUCUAUCUAUCUAUCUAUCUAUCUAUCUAUCUAUCUAUCUAUCUAUCUACCUACCUGCCCUCCUCCUUCUGCCUGUCCUCCUCCUCUCUUCCUGCCUUCUCACUGCCCGCCAUUCUCCUGUCGCCUUCCUGCCUUUUCUCCUGCCUGCCCUCCUUCUCCCUUGCUGCCCCUUUACUGCUCCCUUCCUCCUGCCUGCCCUUUUUCUGCCUUCCUCCCGCCCUCCUCCUUCUGCCUGCCAAGCGGGGCUGCGAGGGUAUUCCCACUUCUCCAACCUCUCGCCGGCCCCAAGGGCUCUUACUGAGCAUCAGACACAAAGGCUCCGAAACGUUCCUGUUCCGAGUUCCGUGCCAAACAGUUCCUUGUUGCUCCUGUUAGAAACCGCCCAAUACUGCAGCCCGAUACGGCGGCCUGAUACGGCGGCCCGAUACGGCGGCCCGGCACGGCAGCCCGGCACGGUGGCCAGGGUUCGAGACCUCCCGGCACGGCGAUCGCAGUCGGAGGCUUCCCGGCACGGCAAUAUGGCGACCAGAGACUUCCCGAAGCGACGGCCGGGAGUAAAGACUUCCCAAGAUGGCGAUCGGGGCUUAUGCAAAUCAGCUACCGAAAAACACUGCUUCAGCCAAAAAACUCGAUCUGUGGAGCAUCAGAACACUAAAUAAAGAAACUGAGGGCGAUGCCGUAAGGUCGGGAUCAAGGGACACUACCCACCAACUCUGCUUGCCUCGCCAUGACCGGGAGAGACUCGCUAGGGAUGACACCCCUGGACUUUCGAGCUGAAGGGGACUCCAGGUUUACCCGCGAGGACGGAGGUCCCGGCUUUGCCUCCACUGCACCCCGCAGGAAAGGCCGUAUUCCUCCUCCUUUGAGUUGCUUCAGGGAGCAUCAGCGGUGUGCGUGCAACCCGUCGGGCCCCCACCCAAAGCUGAUUCCUAAUAAAGGCUUUAAAACAGGAGAAGAAGGUCUCCUG